GGCCGCCUGGCGAAAUGGCAUCGCGUCUGACUACGACGGACUUACGUAACUACGUAUCAGGAGAUUGCAGGUUCGACCCCUGCGGUGGUCA
Mycena polygramma is the source of this 91-nucleotide non-coding RNA. NCBI's taxonomy places the organism in Eukaryota, Fungi, Basidiomycota, Agaricomycetes, Agaricales, Mycenaceae. The record is from the annotation of a GenBank genome assembly.